Camelus ferus (Wild Bactrian camel) is the source of this 72-nucleotide transfer RNA. It matches the Rfam family "tRNA". Rfam says of the family: Transfer RNA (tRNA) molecules are approximately 80 nucleotides in length. Their secondary structure includes four short double-helical elements and three loops (D, anti-codon, and T loops). The record is from Rfam. Lineage: Eukaryota; Metazoa; Chordata; Mammalia; Artiodactyla; Camelidae.
GAGGGUAUAGCUCAGUGGUAGAAAGUGUGCUUAGCAUGAACAAGGUCCUGGGUUCAAUUCCCAGUCCCUUCA